UCCGGCUUAUCACCGGCAGUCUCCCUAAAGUGCCCGACAUUACUCGCUGGUAACUAAGGAUAAGGGUUGCGCUCGUUGCGGGACUUAACCCAACAUCUCACGACACGAGCUGACGACAGCCAUGCAACACCUGUAAUAGUCCAGCCGAACUGACUACCUAGUUUCUUAGGUAUACGACUAUUAUGUCAAGACCUGGUAAGGUUUUGCGCGUAGAAUCGAAUUAAACCACAUGUUCCACCGCUUGUGCGAGUCCCCGUCAAUUCCUUUGAGUUUUAAUCUUGCGACCGUACUUCCCAGGCGGAGUGCUUAAUGCGUUAGCUGCGACACUGAGACUAUAGUCCCAAUAUCUAGCACUCAUCGUUUACUGCGUGGACUAC
RNAcentral lists this unclassified non-coding RNA (377 nucleotides) under uncultured Candidatus Midichloriaceae bacterium. RNAcentral describes it as "contains 16S-23S intergenic spacer region". Lineage: Bacteria; Pseudomonadati; Pseudomonadota; Alphaproteobacteria; Rickettsiales; Candidatus Midichloriaceae. The record is from RNAcentral.